Molecule: long non-coding RNA, 1335 nt
Filed under: Betula platyphylla (Asian white birch)
Lineage: Eukaryota; Viridiplantae; Streptophyta; Magnoliopsida; Fagales; Betulaceae
Description: RNA30505.2
Source: RNAcentral
UCACUAUUAUUAAAUGACAGAGCUGGGCUCAUUAUUAUUAAAUGACAGAGCUGGGCUCACUAUUAUUAAAGUACAGGGCUGGGCCCAUUAUGAUACAUUACAUGGUUCUUGAUGAUUUAUAUGUAUUGGUUUAAGAGGUAUUUCAUGCUAGAUGUAUUGGUAUGCAUAAGAUUCUCAAUGGGAAAGAACUUAUGUAUACGUUUACAGCUGGAUUGCAUAUGAUGUUUUAUGGAUUUUUAUUAUGUAUAUUGGAGCAUAUUCAUACAUUCACAGUUAUAUAAUGAUUUAAACAGCUUUAUGAAAUGUGUUGUUUACUUCAUCAGUCACACUGAGUUUGAUAAAUGAAGGAAUAAUAUUUUUAUGAAAUUAAGUGGCUGAUAUUGUAAGCAAUACAUAAAUAAAAGUUUGGCUCAUUUCGAAAACCCUCGGGGGAGUCUUCAUUCUUUAUGAACUGUUGACUCACCCUUUCUUCUUUCUUUCCCCUACGUAAUCAUGGAUGAUCUCUAUGAUUACAUAGAUGUUACUUUUGUUGCAGGUUGAGGGAUUAGCGUUGGUUCGAGUGCGGGUUUAGAAGUCAUUCAGGAGUAUGAUUGGCUAUUGCUAGCUGGUGGUUUGCUGACUUAAGUUUAGUCAGCCUUUGUUGAUUUGUAUUGAUGCUUAGUGUGGCAAGCCAUUAUUGAUGUAUUAUUUAUGGAGAUUCAGUUGUAAUGAUUUCAUGUAAUGUAAUAGAAGCUCUGGUUUAUUUGAUUGAUAAGUUUAUCAGGUCAUGGAAAGAUCAAAUUAUUAUAGGUGUUUCCGCUGCUUAUAUGGUUUAAUGAUGUAGUAGUAACGUCUUGUGGCUUAUUGAGGAAAGAAAAAUUUUAUUUCCACUUUUGCUCUAUGAAUUUAGGGCGAAGCGUUACAAUAAUUACUUAGUUAAUUUAAAACAACUCAAGAAUGGACCUAGAACAAAAAUAGAAUUAGCUACUUUAGUCCUAUGAAAUCUUGUCAUCCAAUAACUCAUCACCGUGACUAAAAAUCACAAAUAAUUUCACUAAAUUAAUGUGAUUGAACUCCAAUUCAUAUUUUGCCGUAAACAAUUAAUCCUUUAUGACGUAUUUAUUAAAUUACCAUAUUACCCCUCCAUGAAAUUUAUUCCGCGGUUGAACCAAAGAUGAUUAAUUGUCAUUUUGUUCAACACACCUAGAGUACCCGUGCAACGCCCAAUAAUUUAAAUUAAGGAAUUAUAAAUCACUUUAAAAGAUAAGGGUAAAAAAGUAAUUAAACGUAAGAAAAAUAAACACUUCGAAAACACAACAAAAAAAUAAGAAAAAUGAUUUCUCACCCUAAGCGUCC